CUCUACCAAUAACAGCUAGGUUCCCUCCCCACUCAGACCCUCUCUACCAAUAACAGCUAGGUUCCCUCCUCCACUCAGACCCUCUCUACCAAUAACAGCUAGGUUCCCUCCUCCACUCAGACCCUCUCUACCAAUAACAGCUAGGUUCCCUCCCCACUCAGACCCUCUCUACCAAUAACAGCUAGGUUCCCUCCUCCACUCAGACCCUCUCUACCAAUAACAGCUAGGUUCCCUCCCCACUCAGAACCUCUCUACCAAUAACAGCUAGGUUCCCUCCUCCACUCAGACCCUCUCUACCAAUAACAGCUAGGUUCCCUCCUCCACUCAGACCCUCUCUACCAAUAACAGCUAGGUUCCCUCCCCACUCAGAACCUCUCUACCAAUAACAGCUAGGUUCCCUCCUCCACUCAGACCCUCUCUACCAAUAACAGCUAGGUUCCCUCCCCACUCAGAACCUCUCUACCAAUAACAGCUAGGUUCCCUCCUCCACUCAGACCCUCUCUACCAAUAACAGCUAGGUUCCCUCCCCACUCAGACCCUCUCUACCAAUAACAGCUAGGUUCCCUCCCCACUCAGACCCUCUCUACCAAUAACAGCUAGGUUCCCUCCCCACUCAGACCCUCUCUACCAAUAACAGCUAGGUUCCCUCCCCACUCAGACCCUCUCUACCAAUAACAGCUAGGUUCCCUCCCCACUCAGACCCUCUCUACCAAUAACAGCUAGGUUCCCUCCUCCACUCAGACCCUCUCUACCAAUAACAGCUAGGUUCCCUCCUCCACUCAGAACCUCUCUACCA
Oncorhynchus keta (chum salmon) is the source of this 796-nucleotide long non-coding RNA. RefSeq lists it as uncharacterized. The record is from RefSeq and is a predicted model, not a curated record. Lineage: Eukaryota; Metazoa; Chordata; Actinopteri; Salmoniformes; Salmonidae. The transcript is spliced from 4 exons.